RNAcentral lists this ribosomal RNA (440 nucleotides) under uncultured bacterium. RNAcentral's name for it is "partial 16S ribosomal RNA". It matches the Rfam family "Bacterial small subunit ribosomal RNA", at positions 338 to 795 of the family's 1533-position model. The record is from RNAcentral.
CCUACGGGAGGCAGCAGUAGGGAAUAUUGCUCAAUGGGGGAAACCCUGAAGCAGCAACGCCGCGUGGAGGAUGAAGGUUUUCGGAUUGUAAACUCCUUUUGUUAGAGAAGAUAAUGACGGUAUCUAACGAAUAAGCACCGGCUAAAUCCGUGCCAGCAGCCGCGGUAAUACGGAGGGUGCAAGCGUUACUCGGAAUCUCUGGGCGUAAAGAGCGCGUAGGCGGGAUAGCAAGUCAGAUGUGAAAUCCUAUGGCUUAACCAUAGAACUGCAUUUGAAACUGUUAUUCUAGAGUAUGGGAGAGGUAGGUGGAAUUCUUGGUGUAGGGGUGAAAUGCGUAGAGAUAAGGAGGAAUACUCGUGGCGAAGGCGACCUGCUGGAACAUAACUGACGCUGAUGCGCGAAAGCGUGGGGAGCAAACAGGAUUAGAUACCCUAGUAGUC